Molecule: ribosomal RNA, 277 nt
Filed under: uncultured bacterium
Lineage: Bacteria
Description: partial 16S ribosomal RNA
Rfam family: Bacterial small subunit ribosomal RNA
Source: RNAcentral
GACGAACGCUGGCGGCGUGCUUAACACAUGCAAGUCGAGCGAGGCCCGUCCUUCGGGACGGUGCCCUAGCGGCGAACGGGUGAGUAACACGUGGGCAACCUGCCCCUAGCACUGGGAUAACCCCGGGAAACCGGGGCUAAUACCGGAUAUGACCUUUGAGGGCAUCCUCUUUGGUGUAAAGGAUUCUGGCUAGGGAUGGGCCCGCGGCCUAUCAGCUUGUUGGUGGGGUAAUGGCCUACCAAGGCGACGACGGGUAGCCGGCCUGAGAGGGCGACCG